CCUACGGGUGGCUGCAGUGAGGAAUAUUGGUCAAUGGACGAGAGUCUGAACCAGCCAAGUCGCGUGAAGGAAGACGGUUCUAUGAAUUGUAAACUUCUUUUGUGCAGGAAUAAAGUGGGUUACGUGUAACCUUUUGUAUGUACUGUACGAAUAAGGAUCGGCUAACUCCGUGCCAGCAGCCGCGGUAAUACGGAGGAUCCGAGCGUUAUCCGGAUUUAUUGGGUUUAAAGGGUGCGUAGGUGGAUUGAUAAGUCAGCGGUGAAAGUUUGCAGCUU
This 275-nucleotide ribosomal RNA is filed under the name uncultured bacterium. RNAcentral's name for it is "partial 16S ribosomal RNA". It matches the Rfam family "Bacterial small subunit ribosomal RNA", at positions 338 to 610 of the family's 1533-position model. The record is from RNAcentral.